RNAcentral lists this long non-coding RNA (1973 nucleotides) under Pan paniscus (pygmy chimpanzee). RNAcentral describes it as "lncRNA (ENSPPAG00000044388.1)". Lineage: Eukaryota; Metazoa; Chordata; Mammalia; Primates; Hominidae. The record is from RNAcentral.
AUGGCUGCCGGCCCUCACACCCCAGGGCGGCGCACAGGGCCUGGGCCUGACGACGUCCUUAGGGUCCCUGAGCAGCCGGGUCCUCACGGCCCUCGGCGACCCGGGGUCCCCGGGAUGGAGCGAGGCUCUGGGCCUUCAGCAGACGCCGGGGCCCCAGACAGCCCUGACCCGAGCUCCAGAGACAUCCGAGCCCAGGCUCCGAGAGAACCACCCCCGGCCGGGUGCGUCCGAGUCAGUGCUCCCCCGAAGGCGGGGACGUCGGGCGAGAAGCAACUGCAAGGACUCGCGGGAAGAAGCCACCGGGAAUCAUGGCGGCCGCGCUCGGAGGGACGGCUGUGCACGCUCCCGACACAGGUGGCUAAUGCGGAAUCCUGGUCAACAAAGUCUGCAGCCCUGCAGCCUGCUGCGAUGUUUGCUGAGCAGCAGACACAGGUGAAGAGUUGCUCUGAUAACGCCCUGAUCUGCUGCAGCUGUAGGUGAAGGAGCAGCUUAGGAUAGAAAUCAAGAUAAGAGCAACAAACCCAGGCUCCCGCGAGAAGCCAGUGGGUGUCCAACUUGAGGGCGGAGGAAGGCCCCGCACUGCCUGGACGAGGACUGACUGCGGCCAAUUCACUCCGGGGCUGGGCGUCCACGUCCAGCCAGAACGCAGAACUUGCCGGGGUGCGCCGCUCACCCAGGCCCCGCCGUCCCCGCCGUGAGGGUGCUCAGCUCUGCGUGGCUUGACUGUGGGCCCUCAGGUGUCCUUGUCCAGGGCUCAGCCUCCCCAUCCUCUGCAGCGGGGACAUUCUAAGUGAGUGUCUUGUUUAAAAAACAAAGGUGGUAAAAACUGGAGUGUGAGAGGUUAACAAGUUGGCUCCUGCUUUACUAUGGGGGGUCCCUGGCAGCUCCUCUGUUGAAGGACGCAUGGGGCAUCUGUGCCGCUCUCGUAGGGACGUUUCCAGGGCCUUGUGUGACUGUGUUCACGUCUGCCCCUCUCACCUCUGAGCUCCUCCCCACCGCGCUUGUGAGUGGAGCAGCCCAGGAGACUGUAUGUGGGGUUUUCCAACCACAAAGCGUGGGGGCUUUGGAGUCUGACGUGCUCCUCGGCGUGGCCACAUGUGCCUCUUUCUCCACUCCUGGCCAUCAGCUGCCCUCAAGAAGUCAGCCACCCCUGCAGAUGGACAAUGAGUACGCAAAGCCAGGGAGGAAGGGCUUUGUCGGGGGAGCUUGGCGUAGGCGUCCACUUCGUCAGGGCCUCAGCUCUUGCCUGGUGAUUCCUGUGGGCUGAUGUACCCAUCACGGGGCACAGAGUGGGACGCCUGCCAUGCCGUCCUCCCUGCAAACCACAGCCAACAUCCAGGCCCCGCCUUUCACUCGAAGCUCAGUCCUUGUUCUGCCCGGGGGAUCUGGUGCAUCCUGCUGUGUCCAAGGCCCUUGCUAUGGUCCCUGGAGUGGUCUCAGGGGCUGUGCCACACCGCAGGGGCCUCGGAUGGCCCCCAUGUCUCACUGAGCAGACAACCAAUUUUCAGUAUGCAGGUGACAAGCAAGAAGCGGCGUCACCCCUAAACCUUGAGUUUCUUUGCCAAGCAGGAAGCGGUGUCACCCCUAAACCUUGAAGUUCUCCAGUCCUGGGCGUCCCCACUGCCUCCUUCCGGGUCACGUGUUCACAGAGCUAGGGGAAGACCCAGAGACUCCAACGUAUCCUCCAGGACCUGCAGAUGGGCAGAGGCAGAGGCAAGUCCAGCACCCGUGCCGUGCAGUGGAGACCCAGAGAUCAGGCCAGAUGCCUGCAUCUGUGCCGGCUAUGCCACCGCAGCAGCGCUGUCCCCAGACACCUAGAACCGUCCGCGUGCACAGGCUCGUGGCUGCCCUGGCGGAGGUGCCCCAUGCACCCCCUCAUCUGAUGUCAGGUACACUCCUGCCCCAGGCCAGUGCUGUUGCAAAGCUGGAGUUUGUGUUCAGGCUGAUUAUCUUGAACUUAGGCUAAUCUUCCA